GAUGAACGCUGGCGGCGUGCCUAAUACAUGCAAGUCGAGCGAACAGACGAGGAGCUUGCUCCUCUGAUGUUAGCGGCGGACGGGUGAGUAACACGUGGAUAACCUACCUAUAAGACUGGGAUAACUUCGGGAAACCGGAGCUAAUACCGGAUAACAUGCUGAACCGCAUGGUUCAACAGUGAAAGACGGUCUUGCUGUCACUUAUAGAUGGAUCCGCGCCGCAUUAGCUAGUUGGUAAGGUAACGGCUUAUCAAGGCAACGAUGCGUAGCCGACCUGAGAGGGGGAUCGGCCACACGAGAACGGAAACACGGUCCAGACUCCUACGGGAGGCAGCAGUAGGGAAUCUGCCGCAAUGGGCGAAAGCCUGACGGAGCAACGCCGCGUGAGUGAAAAAGAUCUUCGGAUCGUAAAACUCUGUUAUUAGGGAAGAACAAAUGUGUAAGUAACUAUGCACGUCUUGACGGUACCUAAUCAGAAAGCCACGGCUAACUACGUG
Molecule: ribosomal RNA, 497 nt
Filed under: uncultured bacterium
Lineage: Bacteria
Description: partial 16S ribosomal RNA
Rfam family: Bacterial small subunit ribosomal RNA
Source: RNAcentral